This is a long non-coding RNA of Gadus macrocephalus (Pacific cod), 723 nucleotides long. RefSeq lists it as uncharacterized. The record is from RefSeq and is a predicted model, not a curated record. The transcript has 5 exons. Lineage: Eukaryota; Metazoa; Chordata; Actinopteri; Gadiformes; Gadidae.
UGAGCCUGAGAGAAGCGCAGCAUCAUCGUGGUCUGUUAGGCAGCAGAAAGCCUCCGACCGUUGGGAGGAAGCACGGCCAUACCACCUCAGAUGCCUUUUGGAAUCUGAGGCUGUUGGCAAGCCAUUGUGUUGCUUCUGCCACAAGCCUGCUGUUAUAAGGUGCAGAGAGUGCCUUCCGGAGCAGUGGUUUUGUGGGGCCUGCGACAUGCAUAACCACAGCAAACGGCCACUCCACAACAGGGACAGCGUGGUGGAUGGCUUCUUUAAAGCCAUUCCCCCAUCCACAUGUAUCUCAAGAGGAGAGACUGGAAUAUAUGCCACACAUGAGCAAGAUCGCAUUUUACCCACAAUGCCAGCACAGCACUGCACCUGCCAGGUCCCUAGCUUCACAGUGGAAGCUUGAUUACCAUCAAUGGGCGUUAUGAUUUGCAUUUGCCACGUUAUGUGUGCCAAACAUGCCUGCAGCAGUGGGCCCCUGAUGUGAGAGACCUAGUCAGGAGUGGAUAUUGGCCAGCUUCUGCAAAUGCUUCCACAAUCUACACGGUGGACCUCCUCAACACCUUUCAGGAGCUGAAGUUGAUCUCACCUGGAUUCUCCAGGCAAGCCUUUGCAAAGCUGCUAGAACAUCGCACACUGUGUGCAGGAAGAUCUGGACAGAUCAACGGGGAUGCCCUGCAGAGGAGCUUUCUUGAGUUUGCAUACGCCUCCUUUGAGAAAGACCAG